GAUGAACGCUGGCGGCGUGCCUAAUACAUGCAAGUCGAGCGAACAGGCCAUGAGCUUGCUCCUCUGUCGUUUGCGUCAGACGGGAGAGUGACACGCGGAUAACCUACCUGUAAUACUGGGAUAACUUCGCCAAAACGGCGCGAAUACCGGAUAAUAUAUUGAACCGUAUGGUUCAAUAGUAAAAGACGGUUUUGCUGUGACUAAUAGAUGGAUCUGCGCCGCAUUGGCUAGUUGGUAGGGUAACGGCCUACAAAGGCAACGAUGCGUAGCCGACCGGGGAGGGUGAUCGGCGACACUGGAACUGAGACACGGCCCAGACUACUACGGGAGGCAGCAGUAGGGAAUCUUCCGCAAUGGGCGAAAGUAUGACGGAGCAACGCCGAGUGAGUGAUGAAGGGCUUCGGAUCGUAAAGCUCUGUUAUUGGUGAAGAACAAAUGUGGAAGUAACUGUGCACGGCUUGACGGUACCUAAUUAGAAAGCCACGGCUAACUACGUG
Molecule: ribosomal RNA, 497 nt
Filed under: uncultured bacterium
Lineage: Bacteria
Description: partial 16S ribosomal RNA
Rfam family: Bacterial small subunit ribosomal RNA
Source: RNAcentral